Molecule: non-coding RNA, 448 nt
Organism: Anolis sagrei ordinatus
Lineage: Eukaryota; Metazoa; Chordata; Lepidosauria; Squamata; Anolidae
Source: RefSeq, a predicted model, not a curated record
GGACGAUAAUAUGCCUUAUUGUUCCCUCUGAUUGGCAAAAAGCCUGAAGAGGGCGGGCGGUAGAUAAAAUCCUUCGCUCUCAUUGGUUCCGCCGCGCAGAGCUUUUGCCGCCCAAAGUUAUAUCGAGUUUGCGCUGUGAAGGGGCGAGGUGUGGGGGACGUCACCACCAACGGCCUAAAGGAGGAAGUUGGGCUUCGUACUCGAGGGGUUGCGGAGUUCGAGGCCCGCUUUCCCCAACUUUGAGGGGCAAUGACGGAGGAGGAAUAUGUCUUGUGCAAAUGGCAGGGGCGCCUGUGGCCAGCAAAGGUUUUAUAUAGAAACCCGACUUCCAGGAAGUCUGCUUCCAUGCGCGUUGAAAUCUUUUGCCUCCAGAAACAGGCUGAUGUGUCCUGUGCCGCUGUGCAACCCUUGAAGAAGGAGACUAUAGAAGACAUUGCCGAGAAAUUAG